AUCUUUUAAUCAUCAUCUGUUCUUAUCAGUUUAAUAUCUGAUACGGGGGACUACAUAUUAAAUGGAUUUUUCGAACAGGGAGUCGGAAAUGGGGCUUGCUCCGUCCGCUCCACGCAUCGACCCGGUAUUGCACAAGCUUGGCACUGAGGUGUCUUAA
RNAcentral lists this small nuclear RNA (157 nucleotides) under Salmo salar (Atlantic salmon). Its description in RNAcentral is "U2 spliceosomal RNA (ENSSSAG00000116854.1, ENSSSAG00020059569.1)". It matches the Rfam family "U2 spliceosomal RNA". Rfam says of the family: U2 is a small nuclear RNA (snRNA) component of the spliceosome (involved in pre-mRNA splicing). Complementary binding between U2 snRNA (in an area lying towards the 5' end but 3' to hairpin I) and the branchpoint sequence (BPS) of the intron results the bulging out of an unpaired adenosine, on the BPS, which initiates a nucleophilic attack at the intronic 5' splice site, thus starting the first of two transesterification reactions that mediate splicing. Lineage: Eukaryota; Metazoa; Chordata; Actinopteri; Salmoniformes; Salmonidae. The record is from RNAcentral.